UUUGCGAAGGACGCCAGCUGCAUAAUAACCUUACUGAAAUUCGCUUGUCUCCACUGUCUUCAAUAACAACAAAAUUGGUGCCACUGUGCGUGGCAUGAGGUGUAUUUAAGACAACGUUAUGGGAAAAUGGACAUCGGGCACAAACAAGGAAUGUGAUUCACUCGGAUUUAACCGGAAUGAUCAACGUUCAAUGGACGUUCGAACUUAAUAGGCAACAUUUGCAGAUUUCCACAACUGCAUAACGCUGAGAUGUGAUGACGUCAAGAUACAGGUCGCCAAAAUUAUGACAUUUUAUUUUUCAUAAAUUUUGAUUUUUCCAGAUAAGUUGUCAGAUGAGUUUUCUGGUACGCAGUACGUUAACAGAGACCACCAUUACCCCACAGUCCUCUUUCACCAUGUCCUGCACGGCGUGUGCAAAACCAACUACAUUGAGGGAACUAUCCAAAGCAUUCGCAAUGGCGAAGAUGAUACCAAUUGAACUUCCAACUCAGGACCAAUACAACUAACAUUUAGAUGCCGGAUGUGGCAGCAGUAUUUCCUGUUCGAAUUAACAUGGCGCUAUAAUAGAAGUAGGCGGAAAUGUUAAAUUUCUCUACGAAGCAGAUCCCUGUUUUUUGCAACAGGGCUUGUGAUGUAAAUCAGCGGUACAUCGCCGCGAUUUGGUCGAAAUGAAAAG
Daphnia carinata is the source of this 676-nucleotide long non-coding RNA. RefSeq lists it as uncharacterized. The transcript is spliced from 4 exons. NCBI's taxonomy places the organism in Eukaryota, Metazoa, Arthropoda, Branchiopoda, Diplostraca, Daphniidae. The record is from RefSeq and is a predicted model, not a curated record.